AUGCAACGCUCACUCCUCACUGCACAUGCCACACAUAUUCCGGGGAGCAUGAGCACACGCCUCAUCAACACUGCUAUAAAAAUACCUGCUCCUGCACAACUGUACAAGUAUACUUCUGCUACUACUCUACUUCCCAAGUCGCUUAGUAAAACGAACGAAAGGGCGUACGUACAGUACACGAUUUUACUACCAGGGAGAGAGAGAGGGGGGCUGAGGAAAGCGGCCAGCACCACUCGUGGGGUUAAAACCCCAAGAACAGGUCCAGCGGCGGCAGCGGCCAGAGCCAGAACAAGCAAGCAGCCAGAGGAGGAAGAAGCAAGCAAGCCGAGCCCAAGAAAAGCAAAGCCGGACCGAGGCAAGCAAGCAACCAGCUGUAACCGCAGCUCCUGA
Molecule: ribosomal RNA, 390 nt
Filed under: Triticum aestivum (bread wheat)
Lineage: Eukaryota; Viridiplantae; Streptophyta; Magnoliopsida; Poales; Poaceae
Description: partial small subunit ribosomal RNA
Source: RNAcentral